CGAAAGCCUGACGGAGCAAUACCGCGUGAGGGAGGAAGGCUCUUGGGUCGUAAACCUCUUUUCUCAGGGAAGAACACAAUGACGGUACCUGAGGAAUAAGCAUCGGCUAACUCCGUGCCAGCAGCCGCGGUAAUACGGAGGAUGCAAGCGUUAUCCGGAAUGAUUGGGCGUAAAGCGUCCGCAGGUGGCUAUGUAAGUCUGCUGUUAAAGAGUCUAGCUCAACUAGAUAAGAGCAGUGGAAACUACAAGGCUAGAGUGCGUUCGGGGCAGAGGGAAUUCCUGGUGUAGCGGUGAAAUGCGUAGAGAUCAGGAAGAACACCAGUGGCGAAGGCGCUCUGCUAGGCCGCAACUGACACUGAGGGACGAAAGCUAGGGGAGCG
Molecule: ribosomal RNA, 380 nt
Filed under: Nostoc sp. pnB
Lineage: Bacteria; Bacillati; Cyanobacteriota; Cyanophyceae; Nostocales; Nostocaceae
Description: bacterial SSU rRNA
Rfam family: Bacterial small subunit ribosomal RNA
Source: RNAcentral